RNAcentral lists this ribosomal RNA (416 nucleotides) under uncultured Desulfocapsa sp. RNAcentral's name for it is "bacterial SSU rRNA". It matches the Rfam family "Bacterial small subunit ribosomal RNA", at positions 969 to 1382 of the family's 1533-position model. The record is from RNAcentral. Lineage: Bacteria; Pseudomonadati; Thermodesulfobacteriota; Desulfobulbia; Desulfobulbales; Desulfocapsaceae.
CCUUACCUGGUCUUGACAUCCCGAGAAUUUUCUGGAAACAGAGAAGUGCCUCGCAAGAGGAAUUCGGAGACAGGUGCUGCAUGGCUGUCGUCAGCUCGUGUCGUGAGAUGUUGGGUUAAGUCCCGCAACGAGCGCAACCCUUGUCUUUAGUUGCCAUCAUUAAGUUGGGCACUCUAAAGAGACUGCCGGUGUCAAACCGGAGGAAGUGGGGAUGACGUCAAGUCCUCAUGGCCUUUAUGACCAGGGCUACACACGUACUACAAUGGCAGGUACAAAGGGCAGCCACUUAGCGAUAAGGCGCGAAUCCCGUAAAACCUGUCUCAGUCCGGAUUGGAGUCUGCAACUCGACUCCAUGAAGUUGGAAUCGCUAGUAAUCGCAGAUCAGCACGCUCGCGGUCGAAUACGUUCCGGGCCUU